Molecule: unclassified non-coding RNA, 255 nt
Filed under: Hevea brasiliensis (rubber tree)
Lineage: Eukaryota; Viridiplantae; Streptophyta; Magnoliopsida; Malpighiales; Euphorbiaceae
Source: RNAcentral
GACGUUCUUCGUGCUGGCCGCGGCGCGGCUGAUGCUGAUGCGUCUUGAAAAGAAGGCGGGGAACUAAGUCAUGAACCCGAUCUAUGCCUCUCGCCGCCGCUGGGACAUCGUCAUCCGGUUCUUGUGUCUCGGCNNNNNCUAUUUUCGGCGUGACCUGGCUCGCGCUGAUCCUGUUCACGCUGUUCUACAACGGCUUUGCUGGCCUGCAUCUCGGUGUCUUCACCGAGAAUACGCCGCCGCCCGGAUCCACCGACG